UGCGUAGGUGGUUGGUUAAGUUUGAGGUGAAAGCUCCGAGCUCAACUCGGAAAAUGCCUUGAAGACUAUCUGACUAGAGGAUUGGAGGGGAGAUUGGAAUUCUCGGUGUAGCAGUGAAAUGCGUAGAUAUCGAGAGGAACACCAGUGGCGAAGCGAAUCUCUGGACAAUUCCUGACACUGAGGCACGAAAGCCAAGGGAGCAAACG
RNAcentral lists this ribosomal RNA (206 nucleotides) under uncultured bacterium. Its description in RNAcentral is "partial 16S ribosomal RNA". It matches the Rfam family "Bacterial small subunit ribosomal RNA", at positions 568 to 774 of the family's 1533-position model. The record is from RNAcentral.